This 1155-nucleotide long non-coding RNA is filed under the name Brassica rapa (field mustard). RNAcentral describes it as "long non-coding RNA (BRAP_LNC000799)". Lineage: Eukaryota; Viridiplantae; Streptophyta; Magnoliopsida; Brassicales; Brassicaceae. The record is from RNAcentral.
AUAUGAACAGUAAUACACCAAAAUAAAGGAACACUGUUUAUUUACUUUAUUUUAAUUUUUUUUCUUUACAAAAUUGACCUCUCAUUUAUAUUUUCAUUUUCAACUAAAAUAAAGUUAUGCAGUAUACAUUUUCACAUCCUUAAAAUACUAAGUUUAAUACAUCUUUUAUUUUUAAUUAUGUGUUGUAAUAAAAUAUUAAAAUAAAAUUUUAGUUAUAUAGAUAGUAUAAUUGUUGCAGUUCACUGUUAUAAAAUAAAAUAAAAGGUAAAAUUAAUAUUUUUAAAGUUACUGAUUGUAUAAUAAAUUGAUAAAUAAAUAGAAAAAUAUUUUAAAUAUCUUUUGUAAGAAUGGAAAGUAUAUGUAAUUAUUAAAAUAAAUUAUUUUUAUAUUUUUAGACUAAAAAACAGAUGUAACCGUUAGAAACAGUCUAAAAAUCUCAUAAGAAAGAAAAAAAACUCAUAAGAAUAUUCAUAUUACUAGCGCGCAACCACAAUGGUUAGAAAUCCUUAAAAAAAUCUUAAACAAAAAAAAAAUAAUAUAAAUUAAUUGUUUAGUUAAAUUUUAAUUAGAAAACAUAAUUAUAUCAAUCACAAAUGUCCCAUGAGUUUUUAAUUAGGUUCUUGAAAGCUCUUAGUGUAGAAUUUCCAUCUUUCCUCUCUCUUCAAUUUUGAUUAUUUUUAACUUUUUAUUAUUAGAUACUCAUAUUUCAGGUGCUUUAAUACUCUUGUGUUCUCUCUUCUAUUUCCUCAUUUAAUCUUUAAUUGUAAUGUUGAGAACUCCAUUUGAUAUCACCAAUGGAGAUGCUCUUAAGGAACUGAAAUUAUUUUUCAAAUUUUUAUAAAUUUAAAAGCAAACGUAACUUCACUUUCGUUCGUCCCUGUUAGGCCCAACCUCAUCUCUUUUGUAGACACACAACUCUCUUAGUGGCUUCUUCUUCGUCCCCUUUUUUAACAUGCUUACUCUUUUUCGGUUUCGACCAUAAUAAAUCAAUCAAUAUUUUAACUAUAUGUAAAACAUUAAAAUAAUAAUUCUGCAAUGUAGCACUUUGUGGGGUGUAGAGAGCGACAAGCAUUUCCAGAGAUUUCUAGUCAUUCUACCACUUUCAAAAUAAAAUAUUGAAAAACUUGUUCGAUGUGACGGAUUUGCAAGUGUAAG